RNAcentral lists this ribosomal RNA (200 nucleotides) under uncultured bacterium. RNAcentral describes it as "partial 16S ribosomal RNA". It matches the Rfam family "Bacterial small subunit ribosomal RNA", at positions 28 to 258 of the family's 1533-position model. The record is from RNAcentral.
GAUGAACGCUGGCGGCAGGCCUAAUACAUGCAAGUCGAACGCACCUUCGGGUGGGUGGCGGACGGGUGAGUAACGCGUGGGAAUCUACCCAAUUCUUCGGAGCAACUGAGGGAAACUUCAGCUAAUACCGGAUGUGCCCUUCGGGGGAAAGAUUUAUCGGAAUUGGAUGAGCCCGCGUUGGAUUAGCUAGUUGGUGGGUA